RNAcentral lists this ribosomal RNA (886 nucleotides) under uncultured Anaerofilum sp. Its description in RNAcentral is "bacterial SSU rRNA". It matches the Rfam family "Bacterial small subunit ribosomal RNA", at positions 608 to 1503 of the family's 1533-position model. Lineage: Bacteria; Bacillati; Bacillota; Clostridia; Eubacteriales; Oscillospiraceae. The record is from RNAcentral.
CUCAACCCGUAUCAGCAUUCAAAACUGUGGUUCUGAGUAAUGCAGAGGUAGGCGGAAUUCCCGGUGUAGCGGUGGAAUGCGUAGAUAUCGGGAGGAACACCAGUGGCGAAGGCGGCCUACUGGGCAUCAACUGACGCUGAGGCUCGAAAGCAUGGGUAGCCAACAGGAUUAGAUACCCUGGUAGUCCAUGCUGUAAACGAUGAUUACUAGGUGUGGGAAGAUUGACCCUUUCCGUGCCGCAGUUAACACAAUAAGUAAUCCACCUGGGGAGUACGACCGCAAGGUUGAAACUCAAAGGAAUUGACGGGGGCCCGCACAAGCAGUGGAGUAUGUGGUUUAAUUCGAAGCAACGCGAAGAACCUUACCAGGUCUUGACAUCCAACGACCGCCUAAGAGAUUAGGCUUUCCUUCGGGACGUUGAGACAGGUGGUGCAUGGUUGUCGUCAGCUCGUGUCGUGAGAUGUUGGGUUAAGUCCCGCAACGAGCGCAACCCUUAUUACUAGUUACUACGCAAGAGGACUCUAGUGAGACUGCCGUUGACAAAACGGAGGAAGGUGGGGAUGACGUCAAAUCAUCAUGCCCUUUAUGACCUGGGCUACACACGUACUACAAUGGCUAUUAACAGAGAGAAGCGAGACCGCAAGGUGGAGCAAACCUCAGAAAAAUAGUCUCAGUCCGGAUUGGGGGCUGCAACCCGCCCCCAUGAAGCCGGAAUUGCUAGUAAUCGCGGAUCAGCAUGCCGCGGUGAAUACGUUCCCGGGCCUUGUACACACCGCCCGUCACACCAUGAGAGCCGGGGGGACCCGAAGUCGGUAGUCUAACCGCAAGGAGGACGCCGCCGAAGGUAAAACUGGUGAUUGGGGUGAAGUCGUAACAAGGUAACCGU